RNAcentral lists this unclassified non-coding RNA (612 nucleotides) under Fomitiporia torreyae. RNAcentral's name for it is "partial contains ITS1, 5.8S rRNA and ITS2". The stretch from base 257 to 410 matches the Rfam family "5.8S ribosomal RNA". Lineage: Eukaryota; Fungi; Basidiomycota; Agaricomycetes; Hymenochaetales; Hymenochaetaceae. The record is from RNAcentral.
ACAUAUGUGCUCGCCUUCACACUCUUCAUCCACUCAACCCCUGUGCACUUUAUCAGAGUUAGUAAUAGUAUUGUGGUGGCGGCCAUUUGUUGUUAUUCAUUGUUAGAAGCGGGGGGGUAACCCUGUCUGGCAAUAGUAAUGAUAAUAAUCUUGGUUCUACUACUACUACUAUGAACACUUUGACUUUUAUUUAUACAAACACUUUGCUUGUUCUUGUGAAUGUGUAAUGCUCCUUGUGAGCGAAAUACAAAUAUACAACUUUCAACAACGGAUCUCUUGGCUCUCGCAUCGAUGAAGAACGCAGCGAAAUGCGAUAAGUAAUGUGAAUUGCAGAAUUCAGUGAAUCAUCGAAUCUUUGAACGCACCUUGCGCCCCUUGGUAUUCCGAGGGGCAUGCCUGUUUGAGUGUCAUGUAAUUCUCAAUCCUCUUCUUCUUAACUGAAGAAAAAGAGGCUUGGACUUGGAGGUAUACACAAGCUGGUACUGUUUGGUAUCGGCUCCUCUUAAAUACAUUAGCUGGACUGUAGUUCGCAUUGUUUGGUGUAAUAGUUCUAUCUUAUUUCACUACAGUGCUUACUUAGACGGGUCUGCUUCCAAUAGUCCGCCUAUGUGU